RNAcentral lists this ribosomal RNA (163 nucleotides) under uncultured bacterium. Its description in RNAcentral is "partial 16S ribosomal RNA". It matches the Rfam family "Bacterial small subunit ribosomal RNA", at positions 355 to 509 of the family's 1533-position model. The record is from RNAcentral.
UAGGGAAUUUUCGUUCAAUGGGCGCAAGCCUGAACGAGCAAUGCCGCGUGAGUGAGGAAGGUCUUCGGAUCGUAAAGCUCUGUUGCGGGGGAAAAAGGAAGCAGAAAGGAAAUGGUCUGCUUUUGAUGGUACCCCGCCAGAAAGUCACGGCUAACUACGUGCC